AACGAACGCUGGCGGCAUGCCUAACACAUGCAAGUCGAACGAGACCUUCGGGUCUAGUGGCGCACGGGUGCGUAACGCGUGGGAACCUGCCCUUAGGUUCGGAAUAACUCCCCGAAAGGGGUGCUAAUACCGGAUAAUGUCUUCGGACCAAAGAUUUAUCGCCUUUGGAUGGGCCCGCGUUGGAUUAGCUAGUUGGUAGGGUAAAAGCCUACCAAGGCGACGAUCCAUAGCUGGUCUGAGAGGAUGAUCAGCCACACUGGGACUGAGACACGGCCCAGACUCCUACGGGAGGCAGCAGUGGGGAAUAUUGGACAAGGGGCGAAAGCCUGAUCCAGCAAUGCCGCGUGAGUGAUGAAGGCCUUAGGGUUGUAAAGCUCUUUUACCCGGGAUGAUAAUGACAGUACCGGGAGAAUAAGCCCCGGCUAACUCCGUG
RNAcentral lists this ribosomal RNA (433 nucleotides) under uncultured bacterium. RNAcentral describes it as "partial 16S ribosomal RNA". It matches the Rfam family "Bacterial small subunit ribosomal RNA", at positions 29 to 507 of the family's 1533-position model. The record is from RNAcentral.